Molecule: ribosomal RNA, 497 nt
Filed under: uncultured bacterium
Lineage: Bacteria
Description: partial 16S ribosomal RNA
Rfam family: Bacterial small subunit ribosomal RNA
Source: RNAcentral
AGUGAACGUUGGCGGCGUGGAUUAGGCAUGCAAGUCGAGCGAGAACCGUAGCAAUACGGGGACAGCGGCGAAAGGGACAGUAAUGUGUAGGUACCUACCCCGAGGUCUGGGAUAGCUGCGGGAAACUGCCGGUAAUACCCGAUGAUCUGGCGAGCUUUAAAGGCUUGUCAGCAAAGGUGUGAUUCCGCCUGAGGACCGGCUGAGGCGCUAUUAGCUAGUUGGUGAGGUCACGGCUCACCAAGGCGACGAUGGCUAGGGGGUGUGAGAGCAUGGCCCCAACCACUGGCACUGAGACACUGGCCAGACACCUACGGGUGGCUGCAGUCGAGAAUCUUCGGCAAUGGGCGCAAGCCUGACCGAGCGACGCCGCGUGCGGGAUGAAGGUCUUCGGAUUGUAAACCGCUGUCGGGAGGGAUGAAGUGCGCGGGGGUUCUCCCCCGUGUUUGACAGAGCUCCAGAGGAAGCACGGGCUAAGUUCGUGCCAGCCGCCGCCGUAA